UACGGAGGAUCCAAGCGUUAUCCGGAAUUACUGGGCGUAAAGGGCUCGUAGGCGGCCAACUAAGUCGGAUGUGAAAUCCCCAGGCUUAACCUGGGAACUGCAUCCGAUACUGGAUGGCUUGAAUCCGGGAGAGGGAUGCAGAAUUCCAGGUGUAGCGGUGAAAUGCGUAGAUAUCUGGAGGAAUACCGGUGGCGAAGGCGGCAUCCUGGACCGGCAUUGACGCUGAUGAGCGAAAGCUAGGGGAGCAAACGGG
This 253-nucleotide ribosomal RNA is filed under the name uncultured bacterium. RNAcentral describes it as "partial 16S ribosomal RNA". It matches the Rfam family "Bacterial small subunit ribosomal RNA", at positions 524 to 776 of the family's 1533-position model. The record is from RNAcentral.